RNAcentral lists this ribosomal RNA (399 nucleotides) under uncultured bacterium. RNAcentral's name for it is "partial 16S ribosomal RNA". It matches the Rfam family "Bacterial small subunit ribosomal RNA", at positions 360 to 773 of the family's 1533-position model. The record is from RNAcentral.
AAUAUUGCGCAAUGGAGGAAACUCUGACGCAGCGACACCGCCUGAGCGAUGAAGGUCUUCGGAGCGUAACGCCCUGUCCUCAGGGCAGAAGAAAGUGACGGUACCUGAGGAGGAAGCUCCGGCUCACUACGGGCCAGCAGCCGCGGUAAUACGUAGGGGGGAAGCGUUGUCCGGAAUUAUUGGGCGUAAAGGGUGAUUAGGCGGCUUUUUAAGUCAGAUGUGAAAGACCACAGCUUAACUGUGGGGUUGCAUUUGAAACUGGAGGGCUUGAGUAUCGGGGAGGGUAGUGGAAUUCCCAGUGUAGCGGUGGAAUGCGUAGAUAUUGGGAGGAACACCAGUGGCGAAGGCGACUACCUGGACGAAAACUGACGCUGAGGCACGAAAGCUAGGGGAGCAAAC